RNAcentral lists this ribosomal RNA (487 nucleotides) under uncultured archaeon. RNAcentral describes it as "bacterial SSU rRNA". It matches the Rfam family "Archaeal small subunit ribosomal RNA", at positions 383 to 870 of the family's 1478-position model. The record is from RNAcentral.
UAGUGCUAGCUCUUUUUGAGUUAGCUUUUCUUUAGCGUAGAUAACUAAAGGAAUAAGGGCUGGGUAAGACGGGUGCCAGCCGCCGCGGUAAUACCUGCAGCCCAAGUGGUGGCCGAUAGUAUUGAGUCUAAAACGUUCGUAGCCGGUCUGAUAAAUCUUUGGGUAAAUCGGGAAGCUUAACUUUCCGACUUCCGAGGAGACUGUCAGACUUGGGACCGGGAGAGGCUAGAGGUACUUCUGGGGUAGGGGUAAAAUCCUGUAAUCCUAGAAGGACCACCGGUGGCGAAGGCGUCUAGCUAGAACGGAUCCGACGGUGAGGGACGAAGCCCUGGGGCGCAAACGGGAUUAGAUACCCCGGUAGUCCAGGGUGUAAACGCUGCAGACUUGGUGUUGGAAAUCCUUCGAGGGUAUUCAGUGCCGGAGAGAAGUUGUUAAGUCUGCUACUUGGGGAGUACGUCCGCAAGGAUGAAACUUAAAGGAAUUGGCG